UACAGAGGUCCCAAGCGUUGUUCGGAUUCACUGGGCGUAAAGGGUGCGUAGGCGGUCGGGUAAGUCUGACGUGAAAUCUUCAAGCUCAACUUGGAAACUGCGUCGGAUACUAUUCGGCUAGAGGAAUGGAGGGGAGACUGGAAUACUUGGUGUAGCAGUGAAAUGCGUAGAUAUCAAGUGGAACACCAGUGGCGAAGGCGAGUCUCUGGACAUUUCCUGACGCUGAGGCACGAAAGCGUGGGGAGCGAACAGG
RNAcentral lists this ribosomal RNA (253 nucleotides) under uncultured bacterium. RNAcentral's name for it is "partial 16S ribosomal RNA". It matches the Rfam family "Bacterial small subunit ribosomal RNA", at positions 524 to 776 of the family's 1533-position model. The record is from RNAcentral.